Molecule: ribosomal RNA, 208 nt
Filed under: uncultured bacterium
Lineage: Bacteria
Description: partial 16S ribosomal RNA
Rfam family: Bacterial small subunit ribosomal RNA
Source: RNAcentral
CGCGUAGGCGGCAUAUUAAGUCAGCUGUGAAAUCUCCGAGCUUAACUCGGAACUGUCAGCUGAUACUGAUGUGCUAGAGUGCAGAAGGGGCAAUCGGAAUUCUUGGUGUAGCGGUGAAAUGCGUAGAUAUCAAGAGGAACACCUGAGGUGAAGACGGGUUGCUAGGCUGACACUGACGCUGAGUGCGCGAAAGCCAGGGGAGCAAACG